Long non-coding RNA from Harpegnathos saltator (Jerdon's jumping ant), 662 nucleotides. RefSeq lists it as uncharacterized. The transcript is spliced from 2 exons. The record is from RefSeq and is a predicted model, not a curated record. NCBI's taxonomy places the organism in Eukaryota, Metazoa, Arthropoda, Insecta, Hymenoptera, Formicidae.
AGCGGGUACGUCGGAGAAACGCGACAGAAAGUAUCAAGCUUCAAUGAGUCGUUGUGAUUUUAACAUCCGUCACGCAUUCGUGAUUUUCAAUUGAGAAAAUAACGCGUUGAUUCCGCCAAUCAAACGCUUCAUCGAAACAUCGACAUUAAAAAUGAAGUUUUUCGUGAAAAUGUUAUUCACGAUGGCGUUAUUUACGAUCGUUUUGUCAAAAUCGACCCCACCGGCGGAUUAUCAAAGCACCGAUCAACCAUCCACGUCGAACCAAUACGGUGGUGGUUAUCCUUAUCUCAUAAAUGUUCCAUAUAAAUCACCAUGUCCAGAGAAUCAACGGCAGGACCAAAAUGGAAAUUGUCGAGUGAUGGAAUAAUUUCACUCAUUAAGGAUCAGAAUCUGUUUGACAAAAAUUGCGAAGAAGCAAUGACUGGCUAUUCAAGGAUAAAUUGAGAGGAUAACGAGCAAAACGGGACAAAUAUUACUCAUGUCGAUAUUACGAUGGCAAUUUUAUGAGGUUAUACUUUAUAUUUUAUUUUAUAGUUAUACUUUAUUUUUUUUAUGUACAUAGAAGUUAUUGUUCACUUUUUAAGCUGUCAACCUCACAAUUAUACGUAUGAAUGUUUGACGAAUUGCGGUGAAAUAUAUCGACUUAAAGUGUCGUAGGUGAA